CCUACGGGAGGCUGCAGUGAGGAAUAUUGGUCAAUGGACGAGAGUCUGAACCAGCCAAGUAGCGUGAAGGAUGACUGCCCUAUGGGUUGUAAACUUCUUUUAUAUGGGAAUAGAAUGUUCCACGUGUGGGCUUUUGUAUGUACCAUAUGAAUAAGGAUCGGCUAACUCCGUGCCAGCAGCCGCGGUAAUACGGAGGAUCCGAGCGUUAUCCGGAUUUAUUGGGUUUAAAGGGAGCGUAGGUGGAUUGUUAAGUCAGUUGUGAAAGUUUGCGGCUCAACCGUAAAAUUGCAGUUGAAACUGGCAGUCUUGAGUACAGUAGAGGUGGGCGGAAUUCGUGGUGUAGCGGUGAAAUGCGUAGAUAUCACGAAGAACUCCGAUUGCGAAGGCAGCUCACUGGACUGCAACUGACACUGAGGCUCGAAAGUGUGGGUAUCAAACAGGAUUAGAUACCCCAGUAGUC
This 460-nucleotide ribosomal RNA is filed under the name uncultured bacterium. Its description in RNAcentral is "partial 16S ribosomal RNA". It matches the Rfam family "Bacterial small subunit ribosomal RNA", at positions 338 to 795 of the family's 1533-position model. The record is from RNAcentral.